GCACUGCCGAGGAGUCCCACAUAGGACGAAACGGCCGUCUAGUGC
Molecule: non-coding RNA, 45 nt
Filed under: Schistosoma curassoni
Lineage: Eukaryota; Metazoa; Platyhelminthes; Trematoda; Strigeidida; Schistosomatidae
Source: RNAcentral